Dermacentor andersoni is the source of this 420-nucleotide long non-coding RNA. RefSeq lists it as uncharacterized. The record is from RefSeq and is a predicted model, not a curated record. NCBI's taxonomy places the organism in Eukaryota, Metazoa, Arthropoda, Arachnida, Ixodida, Ixodidae.
CUUCCGUCGCUUUUCAGCUAACGUAAGUGGCCUACUACCAACUUCGUCUACAGACGAAAUCGAACUGCUGGUAUACCAGUUUCCAGUAGGUUACGGCGACAGGAGGUGCCUAAUUCUAGGUCCUCCGUCCUACGAUGGUGAAGUUCAAAGAAACAAAAACAAAGGUUGCUCGAUGUGGCUUCCAAUGUCCCAAGUAGGCAAGCCGCCACUGUGCUGCCAAAUGAUCUACUUUCUUCUGUGCGGUAACACAUGGGUUGAAAUGUACGAAGAGAAAUGUGCAACAAAACGGAAGAAUUGAAAGAAAAUUCCCUGUCGCCAACGUUUUAAGAGAAACCAAAGGAAAAGUUCGCUUUGUCACUCGGUUAAUGAACAGGUAAAAAAUUAUGACGUAAAAGAAAUAAACUACUGACAGUUGUUGUC